Ziziphus jujuba (common jujube) is the source of this 3549-nucleotide RNA transcript. RefSeq lists it as uncharacterized. Lineage: Eukaryota; Viridiplantae; Streptophyta; Magnoliopsida; Rosales; Rhamnaceae. The transcript has 8 exons. The record is from RefSeq and is a predicted model, not a curated record.
AUCGUUUUUAUGUAAUUUCAACUAUACCCUUAUCUCCUAAAUUAUUCCAAAACACAAAGCCUAACAGAGGCCAUAUACACUCCAUUGCAGCAACGGCAGUUGAAGCUUCCUCUUUUUUUCCCAUGGAGACUCUGCUUCGAUUUUGCAUUCGACCUCUAUUAUCUCAUGGAUUCGAGGUAUUUUCUUGCAAUUUCUCUAUGUUUCUUUUGUUUUUCCCCCGAUUAAUCCCUUUCGGUCCCAGGAAUGCUCUUUCUAUUUCCCUUCGAAGCAGCUCUCUUCCUCCUGCUGGAACGUGGUCUCCCGUCGGAACGUCAUCUCUUCGCAGCUCUCCAAUUUGAAAAUCCUACUGCAUUAUCAAAGGACUUAGGGAUUUCAUUAAUAGCUACAAAAGAAGGAAAUUUUCUCGAAGCUGAGAGGAUUUUCUUGGGAGGUCCAAAAAGUGCAGGAAAAUUUUUUCAGUGUACCGAGAGAAGGGGAAGGAGGAGGAGGAGGAGGAAGAGAGAGCGUGACGAGAGUGUCUUUGAAUUUAGGUGGCUCCACCAGAUUGAGAACGAGGUCGGACCUUUUCUUGGUGGUGUGUAAGUGCUUCAGCAUCUUGACUUCCUCUACAGUUGUUCUCUGUAUUGCUGUUAAUGUUCUCUCCGCCAUUCGAUCUUUCAAGGACAGAUAUGAUUGUAGGUUUUCGAUGGGAUAUUUCGGUGUUAUGAGGUUUUGAUUGCAGCUUUUGUGGUUCUAGAUGAGACAGAGUGGGAACUCAUCAUCAAGUUCUGGAAGGGGUAGCCAAGUCUGAGCUUAUCUAACCAGAUCAUGCAGGAGUGCUUUCCACUGGUCCGCUGAGAAUUUAUUUGCUAGUGUUGUUGGUUUGUAUCAGCAUGAUUCUAUAUCAGAUACAGAUCCAGUGUACUUGUCCAAGAAUCGAUGGAUAUAUAAGGUUGAGUUGGCAAGUUAUGUAAAGCAGCUUUAUGCACAAACCUCUGAAUCAGCUAGUUAUGUAUGGCACGACAUUGGUCUUCCAACAAGUAGGAUGCUUGUUUGGUACAAGUCAACAUUCUCAGCUCCUCUUGGUACUGAUCCAGUUGUGGUUGAUUUGAUGGGAUUGGGAAAAGAAAAAGCUUGGAUAAAUGUCAGAGCCUUGGAAGGUAUUGGCAAAAUUUUGAAGCCAAUGAAGAUGGUUGCAGUUAUAUUUGUAGUUAUCGUGGAGCAUACAAUAGUAGUAAGUGUAAUACCCCGUCCCAAAUCGCACCGGAAUCCGUGCAAGUUGACUUUUUGCUCCAGUUGGAAUUUCGAGUUGACCAGGGUACCGUGGCGAAGUGCAUGAUGCCCCGAGUUCGUAGACUAGUAGCACGUCAAAAACGAAGCUACGGUUUGAAAGUUAUGGGCGAAACAAGUCGAAGUGCAAACAGUCCAAAAGGUGCCGGGAGUUGACUUUUUCUUGUGGUGUAAUUUUAAGUUGACUCUUGUAUGGUUGUAAAGUACUCGUCGAUACGAGUUCAUAGACUAGCGGCACGCUUAAAUCGGAUAUUUGGUUAAAAAGUUAUGGACGUUUAAAAUUCGCCGGAUACCGUAUUAUUUUAUUAUAUUUGGCUUAAGUGCACAGUGACGCCGUGUCAGGUUCUGAUUGGUCCACGUGGCAUGAACAGUGUCACACGGGGUUUUUAUUUGAUAAAAUUCUCGGGGAAGAGAGAGAAAGAGAGAGAGGAGAGAGUCCGACCGGCGUCGGAAUUUUUCAAAUUUUCCGGCCGAAUUACUGUACACGCGCUGGCCAGCAAGAUUCCCCUCCCCAUUUCCGGCAAAACCUCAAAUUUUCACGGCGAUCGGCCGCCGGUCCUGUUGGAUUGCUCUCCCCACGAUCUACAAAUCUGCAAAAAAUCAUAGCCAACGGCCAUCGCACGUGCCGCCGCCGGCGACGGUUGCCCGUGACUGCGGCGACGGUUGCCCGUGACUGCGGCGGCUCGCCGGAAGUUACUGUUCCGGCGAGUACCCAGUCUUCCGGUCGGCUCCAGUCCACUGUGUUCGACCUCCUGAACCCGAAUCCGGCAUCCGUUUCCGCCAAUUCGCGACGGUUUGGGAGAAUUGCGGAGCCGAAACCCGAAAAGCUUUCAAGCGAAAUUUCGACCCCGUCGGGUACGAUCAUCGAAAAUUAAGACCGAAUCUGUGAUCAGCAUCACUCGAGCUUUGAUUCGGUGCACGUGCGAGUAGCGGAGUCGAUCCUACGGAGGAUCUUGAUUGAGAUUCGGGCUUAAGGUGAGUGAUCCACCUUCAAAUUGAUUUUGGGAAUUUAAUUGGUGAAUAUUAUGUGAGAUUUAAAUAUUGGAAUUUAAAUUCUAUGUGCCAAGUAAAUAUUUGAUUUAUUGUGGAAUUAUUUGUGAAAUUAUUGGAUUUAAGAAAAUGUGCAUUUUACAAAUUUAUGCCAUGUGAAAUUAUUUUAUAGGUUCGAGAAUUUUGAAAUUCUUGUGGUUUUAAUAUUAAAUUGGGCAUGAUUUGAUUUUCAAAUAUUUCAAAGAAAAUAUUUGGUUAUGUUGGUGAUUUCAAUUUUUAUAAAAAUGCCCAUGGAAUAUUAUGAGAUUUAAUUAUUAUAUUUUGAGAACUAUUUGUGCUAUUGGGAAAAUGUGGAUAUUUGAAAUGGUGGAUUUGGGAGUUAGUGGAUUUGAAAAUCAUGGAAUUUAUGGUGUUGAUUAUAAAGAAAUUGUGGGGAAUUUCCCGGUUCAAGCGGAUGGAAUAUACCUGCUGUGUUUAUGCAAAAUGUGAAAUUUGUUAUAUAAUUUAAAUAUGUGGAUUUUAUGAUUUUUAGAUGCAUCGUGCACGUACUGGUGUUCUGAUUAUAUGUGAUAUGGUUAGUGUGCACACGGUUAUGAUUAGCGCGCAGGUGGGUGUGAAUAGCGCGCAGGUGAUAUUAUGAGGUUGUCCUGUGGUUGCCAUCGGAUGAGGGUGGCCACCCCUCCAUGGUCGGGACACCAGGUUAGCAGCGGUGCAGUGGGACGCCACGCGGCCGUAUGCCGGUUUCUUUCUAUAACCUCCUGUCUGGCGGUACCUCGGGACGCUGGGUACUGUUGGCACCACUGGUAUAUAGUGGGUGCAUCAAAUGAUUUUCAGAACUGUGUUUUAAAAAUAAAAUGUUUUAAAACUGUAUUGGGAUUAAAAAUAUAAUUAUUACCGUUUCUGGUAUUUAUUUGAUGUCUUGGUUUUCGGGGAAUACGAAUAAAGGGUUUUGUGAAAAUGUUUUAAAAGGGAAACUUUUCCAACUGAGAGAAUUGUAAGGGUUUUGAGAGAAAUUAUUAUUUUCCAAUUAAUUAUUAUCUAUCUACUGUAUUACCGUGGUAUUAUAUUGUAUAGUAGAUAGGGUCACUCACUGAGAUGAUUAGCAUCUCACACUCUUAAAUUCCGUUCCCCUAGGUCCAGGUUGGAGACGUUGAUUGUCCUGGGUGAGCCCAACGUCUCAGUUCAUUGCCGAAGGUUUAAGAAGUUUUUUUUCUUCCCUUUUUCCUCUCUAUCUUGUAUUGCUUCCUUAUUUGUCAUUGUAUAAAUUCCGCAUGUAUCUGUAUAAUGCUC